This 406-nucleotide ribosomal RNA is filed under the name uncultured bacterium. RNAcentral's name for it is "partial 16S ribosomal RNA". It matches the Rfam family "Bacterial small subunit ribosomal RNA", at positions 28 to 526 of the family's 1533-position model. The record is from RNAcentral.
GAUGAACGCUAGCUACAGGCUUAACACAUGCAAGUCGAGGGACCGGCGCACGGGUGAGUAAUACGUAACCAACCUCCCCUUUACUCGGGGAUAGCCUUUCGGAAGAAAGAUUAAUACCAGAUAUAAAGGAUGGGGAUGCGUUUCAUUAGGUUGUUGGUGAGGUAACGGCCCACCACACCUUCGCUGGAUAGGGGUGCUGAUAGGAAGGUCCCCGGCACUGGAACUGGGGCCCGGGCCAAACUCGUAGGGGAGGUAGGAGUGAUGCAUAUUGGGCGAUGGGCGCUAGCCUGAACCAGCCAAGUAGCGUGAAAGAUGAAGGCUUAUGAAUCGUAAUUUUCUUUUAUAUAAGAAGCGGUAUCAUAUGAAUAAGGAUCGGCUAACUCCGUGCCAGCAGCCGCGGUAAUAC